UUUUAUAUGAUUUCCCUUUCCCGUUGCUUUAGCAUUCUUCAUUAUUUUGGGUUUGUCUCAGCACAGGCGUUUUUCUUUCCUUCUCUUCUUCUUCUUCUUCUUCCCUUUGGAUCAUCCGAAAGCUACGACCAACACCAAACACGUUUUGCUCAAAAAGCACCUACGGCACCGAGUUUUUUUUUAUUAUUCUCAAAAGCAAAAACAGUUAACUCUUAAUUCUUAUAUAAAUAAUUCACACGAAGAAUACGAAUUCAAAUUCGAAUUCCAUUGGUUUUUAUAUCCCUGUUUGCUCUUUGAAUGAUAGCUUUGUAAACCUAGGUUUCGCGAAAUUAUUCGGUGUGUAGCGCUUUGGGAAAUGAUGGCUUUAACGUAUCGCGAGGAGGAAGAGGAGUCGUCGCGGUGGUAGUGAUCGGGGGGAGGAGGAGGUGUAGUAGGAGGAGGAGGAGGAGGUGAAACGACGCGUAAUGGACUGUCGGGUGUGCGUGGCGGCAGGGGAUUGGCUGGCGAGGUGGGCCGGUGGAGGAGGAGGAGCGGGCCAGAUCGGAGGAGGGUUCAGCCACGAGAGCGAGCACGACUUGGCGCUUAUGGUCAGCGAUUUCUUGGAGAACGGGAGCGGUGGGGCCGACUCCCGGUGUAGCAGUGACAGUGACUCGGCUCUCUCCGAUCUCACCAACCCCGCCGAGAAGAUUCCGUUUUGUAAGAUCCCGGUGGCUCAGUAUGAGAGUGACAUGCUUUCAGUGGUUAAUUCUCUUAUACUAUCUAUCAAUGAGACCGACCUUCAAGUUGUCAAGUCGAGUGCAUGUAACGCCAGCUGCAUCAGAUUUUCUCUGGUAAAGCUUCUGAGACGUUCUGGUUAUGAUGCUGCUGUAUGUGCAACCAAAUGGCAGGGUAUUGGCAAGGUCCCUGGAGGGGAUCAUGAAUAUAUUGAUGUGGUCAACUACAACAGCACUGGAACCUCUGAGCGUUUGAUCAUUGAUAUUGAUUUCCGAAGUCACUUUGAAAUAGCUCGAGCUGUUGACUCAUAUGAUAGAAUAUUGAAUUCGCUUCCAGUCAUUUAUGUGGGCUCCUUGUCCAGGCUGAAACAGUUUCUUCAGAUAAUGGUUGAGGCUGCUAGAUCUUCUCUCAAGCAGAACUCAAUGCCACUUCCUCCCUGGAGAUCACUCGCAUAUCUUCAGGCUAAGUGGCAGUCGCCCUAUGAGAGGCAGUUUAAUCCAGAAGAACAGAAGAUUAGCAAGACUAGUUUUGUUGACCAUAUGCAAUGUAGUGGACAUUUGAAGAGGCUGCAGUCUCUGCUUCAAUCUGAAAUGGAAGCAGAGCGACUCUUGAAGCCCAUGAACAGCGAUAAUAACUGGAGACUGAAGCCUGAGAGGCGGAGGCACUCUUUGUUCCGGAAUCUUUAAGGUGUACAGAUUUUGGCCUUGGAGAUGAGAGAGUUUCUCUCAAGAGAGAUUGUAUUGCGGCUUUCUAUUUUGAGUAUUUUCAAUUCUUUCUCCCUGAUGCUAAAUUAGUUACGACCUGAGCAAAGGGCAGGUUUCAUAUAGUCAUCGAUGGUGAUAGCAAUAAGCCAUAACAUGGCAGAGACAUUCCUUUUUUCCCCUAUCAUGGUGCAGAACCCAACAAGUCAGUGCUGGUCCUCUCUUGCAUCACCAACAGCCAGGCCGAAUUGGUUGGUAUCUUGCUUGACCAUGUCACAUUUCUUUUAUACUUGUUGAAUGGCUUGAAGAUAUAGCGGAACUUUGACCUUUUCUGUUGUCAUUUGUCAAUAACGACCACGCCCAGCUCUUCCCAAGCAUGGAUAACUUCGUGUGGCUGUGGUAAAGGGGCCCAGAACGGUCAAAGUUGUACUGCGGAACAAUUUGGAAACUACGAGGAAAAAGUACUUGAAUUGACUGUCCUUUUAUACUUGCCGAAAACAUCGUCUCUUAUUUAAUUGAUUGGGAAUGUUCAAUUCUUGGUUUAUAAAAUGUGCAAUGGCAUUUUCUGCA
Non-coding RNA from Corylus avellana, 1985 nucleotides. NCBI's taxonomy places the organism in Eukaryota, Viridiplantae, Streptophyta, Magnoliopsida, Fagales, Betulaceae. The record is from RefSeq and is a predicted model, not a curated record.